UCUUUAAUAUAUAUGCUCUAGAAAUUAUGAAAGUGAAGAGAAAAAAAAAAAGAAAAGAAAACGAAAGAAUUGAGAAAUAAAGGAGAGAAAAAUCAUGCGAACUCUAAUUUGCACGAGAGAUUAAAUGAGAUCCUCUAGAUGGAUCGUAAAAUUCGAUCUUCUCAAUUCUGGUCUUAUUAAAGGGUUUGCGCAACAACGUCCUAUUAAACCCCCAUGGAAAAUAAUUAAAAUUAACCAUUCGUUCUUAGAUUCAACAUCUCGAUUACGUCGGUCAAUUUCGAUCUCUUGGUACUCACAAAUAUGCACAUGCCAGUGUUAUGUGUGUCCGCUUUAGAGUUAACGAUAGAGAUUCAGACACGUACUUGUGCCGUGGCCGUUAAUUGAAAUCAUCCGCAUUUCGCGCUCACCACGUAUAUCGGCUCCACCCUGAAACUUUCUUUUUUUUUUAGCAAUUACUAUAAACUAUAUGUACCAGGUGCGUUAAUCGUUAUACGAUUCUGAUUUUCUUUUUUUUCCUUCCUUGUUUCACUAUGAUAUUUAUAUUUCGGACAAAUAUCAUUUAUACGUUUCCCGUCGCGCUCAGUCGGCCAUGACUGAUAAACACGGAAAUCUGGUAAUAAAAGUCGCGAAAUAAAAAAACGUUUUGAAUGAAAAAAAAAAAAAAAAAAAAAAAAAAAUAACUUCGAUUCUUACACGAAUUAUUUAUACUUAUUUAUUAUUACGAUUGAAAUAUUCUAUUUAAUAUGUAUAUCGAAAAAUAAUUCAGAAUGCGACGAGAGAAAGAAAGGAAAAAAAAAGAAGAAAGAGGGAGAGAGAGAGAGAGCGAGGGGGGGGGGGGGGGUAGGUAGUCGUUUUAGGGAUACCUGUUGACUUAGGUGAGCGUAUAAUAUGAGCGCGUGAAGAAAGGUCCGGACAAAAGGAUGUGGGGAGUGGGGAGGAAUGGUCGUAAUUCGUGCCUAUAAGAUCCGAACAAGAAUUCAUCUCCCUCACCCCUCUCUUUCUCUCUCUCUCUCUCUCUCUCUCUCUCUGUCUCCCUUUCUUUCUCUCUCUUUCUCUGUCUCAUCUCAACGUUACUAUCCUCUCUUCUCUAUUUAUCCCAGAUAAACAAAGGAUAGAAGAACGCCCGUCGUGAAAGUUCCCCUGCUCUCUAAUUGUCAACGAUGUUUUUAAGAUUCUCUGAGAAAAAGUUUCAAGAGUAUCUUUUGCAAAAAUUCGAUGGGGAGGGGGAGAAAAAAAAGAAAAAACGAAAAAGGAGAAAAAAAAGAAAGAAAGAAAAAAAAAGAAAAAGAAUACAAGGUAUAUCGGAGAAAAUCGGCUUUUCCCUUGACACCGUUCAGCUUUCCCCCUUCCCCUCCUUCUGCCCUCCCCCCUCUCUCUCUCUCUCUCUCUUUUUCUGUCGCUUCUUCUCAUAGCUGUAAGCUUAGAUAACUUUAUUUUCCAUCCACGACAAAAUCGUUCUACGAGCUGGACACUUUCUUUUCUUUGGUAUAAAAGGGAAUGACUAAAAUACGUGUUGGUAAGAACGGCGGUGCCCUUGGCGUUGUAAGAGAAAGAGAGAGAGAGAGAGAAAAAAAGAAGAAGAAAAAGAAGGAGUAAGCGAAGAAGAAGAAGGAGUACUAGAAGAAGAAGAAGAAGAAGAAGAAGAAGAAGAAAAGGAAGAAAGGAGGGUCGGAAGAGUACGGAAGAGGGUCGUAGACGAGGCUGAGGUUAAUGAGUUUGCUACUGCCUGUCACGAAUAAAGGUACAGGUACUGCUGGCUGUACUGAAAUAGCUGGAAGGGGGCAAAGAGCAAACCACUCGCCGGCAAGAUGGCGCCUGUUCUAAAUUCAAAACAAGACGCUGCUUAGCAUAUACAUAUCCCGUGCUCUUGGCCGACGCGGGCGCGCGAGCGCGCGCGCUCACGCUAUGACAUUCGCAAUUCAAAUCGUACAUUUCUAUUACCAUUUUAAUUCAAGGACACUCGGUCGUCGCGAAGCAUUGGCCUCCGGUAGUUGACUACCGAUCGCCGAGUUCUUCUUUUAUCCCUUCGUUUCGAGUUUUCACAAUGAAAUCGAUUAAAAAGCAAAAACGAUAAAAAGAUAACUGAUGUAAUCCGUCAAUGUUUAUCGACGAUGAGAAAUAACACGAGUGUUUAAUCGAUAUUUGUUUGUAGAAAAUGUUAAAAAAAAAAAAAAAGAAAAAAAAGAAAACAAAAGAAAAAAGAGAAAAGUCUUUAAGCAACGACAUCGAAUUAAAUUACAGGUACCACCACAGAAACCCAUCGAAGGUAAGGGUUUAAGGAAUUGGAUGGUAUCCAUCGAACAUCUGGCGAAACCCUUUUAGAUGCGGUUCCCGGAUUUGUUCGCUAGAAAACUGACUCGUUCCCGCGAAUUUAUGUGCGACGUCAGAUUAAGGGACAACCCUCCUACCUUUCUAUCCUAUUCGAGGGCAAACCCGCCAUUGUAUGUCACUUCCGUUUACUCGGUUACGCAUAACAAGAUCCUCGGGAUUUCAUGGUUACCAUACGAAAAAAAAGAGAAUAAGAUGAGCGUGUCCGUGUCCGUAUCUUUUUCUAUGUGUGCGCGUGAAAGAGAGACACGAUUCUAAGCACGUUUUUACCAUACGUCGUUAAUGACACGUAGUUGUUGUCGAUGGCCGACAAUGUUCACGACAGAUGUUCACGCUUCGACUUUCAUAUUCUCCCUUUAUAGUUUGGAUACUAUAAAAAGAUUUCGAUCGUUUUAUUUUCUAAGAUGAAAUGCCCGAUUUUAAUCUUAGAAAAUCUUUUGGACGAAUUCAUUCAAUAUGUGGAUCGUUUAAACAAUAUCAAGAUGACCUAAAUCGGAUUUUGUUAAAAGUAAAUGGAACAAAAAAAAAUAAAUAAAUAAAUAAAAAAUAUGCAACGGCAUGUUCGAUUGAAAAUUAGAAUAAAGAUUUAUUGGCCAAUAAAAGCCAAUGAGGAAUAAAUAAAUUAUAUCACCUUCGAUUAAACGUAUUUACGGAUAAUAUUUUCAAGAACACGUAAAUGCAGCAUUUGUCCUCAUUGCAAGUGCAAUUAACGUUCUUUCGAUCACCCGUUAGAGUACCGACGUAAAGAGAGCGUGACUGACCAGACGGCCUUAAAGCUGCCUUCUAUGAUCGUUUUCUUUUUCUUUCUGGCGUUCUUAACUUCGUUUUCUUUUUCUUUUUUUCGUACGUUUUCCUUCUUAUUUCAGGAAAAAACGAAUAACUCGCGACAUUGUCGGCGAGCUCGUAAUGUCUAAAUCGUACUAAUCUCGGUGGUACAAUAAAUCCGAUUGAGAUCGUUUCUAGAGAAAAAAAAAAAAAAAAGGAACUUGUGUUG
Molecule: long non-coding RNA, 3322 nt
Organism: Vespa mandarinia (Asian giant hornet)
Lineage: Eukaryota; Metazoa; Arthropoda; Insecta; Hymenoptera; Vespidae
Source: RefSeq, a predicted model, not a curated record